This 246-nucleotide ribosomal RNA is filed under the name uncultured bacterium. RNAcentral describes it as "partial 16S ribosomal RNA". It matches the Rfam family "Bacterial small subunit ribosomal RNA", at positions 107 to 353 of the family's 1533-position model. The record is from RNAcentral.
CGAGUAAUGUCUGGGAAACUGCCUGAUGGAGGGGGAGUAACUACUGGAAACGGUAGCUAAUACCGCAUAACGUCACAAGACCAAAGAGGGGGACCUUCGGGCCUCUUGCCAUCGGAUGUGCCCAGAUGGGAUUAGCUAGUAGGUGGGGUAACGGCUCACCUAGGCGACGAUCCCUAGCUGGUCUGAGAGGAUGACCAGCCACACUGGAACUGAGACACGGUCCAGACUCCUACGGGAGGCAGCAUG